GGUUUAAUCAGCCACAGCAAUUGAAAACACCUGUGUGUGUCUUCUUAGACAAUUCUUAGAUCAGCUGAUGAAGGUUUUGAAGACUCAGUGUUGGAAUUCAGCCCUUGUUGUGUUUAGAUUUCCCUCAGAAACCCGCUAAGAAUACAGUGAACAUGUGAUAUUGGCUGCUGUGAUCUCUGACAGUGUACACAGUGUCCAGUGGUGUGACAGAUUCCUGAAAUGCCUCUGAUGUGUGUCAGAUAUUGAAAGGUCAUCUAAUGAAAACCUAAGCGUGACUGACCAGGUGACGAACCGCCACGUGACACCAGUAUAUGUUACUUCAUAGCAGGAAUGCGUGACAUGUGAGUGACAAAAGUGUGACGGCAAAUUCUUAGUAAAACAAAUCAUGUGUCAUACUGGAAGUCAUACUUAGAUGCCGUUACCAGGAAAUGACUGACUAUGUGAGACAGUCAAUUUAAAGUGAUGAGGGCUCGGCUUGUGAGCACUUUGCCGAGCAUAAACUUGAUCACCGCCAGGAUGAUGCACACCAAGCCACUGACGAUGGACACGCUGAACAGGAAGUCAUCCUGAGAGAGACAGACAGAUGGACAGAGAGAUGACCAAGGGGAGAGAGAGAGGAGUGAGAGUCAGAGGAGGAGUGAGAGGACAAACAAGAGGAGGCACACGACCAUGAUCUAGGAGAGCAAUUGCCUCUGAUGAGAUUCAGGCCAUUUUGGUUGACCACGUGGGUCAAUCAUGGUCUGAAGAUGAGGGAGGCAGUGCUGACAGUCCAGCCAAGCUUGAACCGCUUCACUGUGGCUUCAAUCAUCCAGACAUACAGAAUGAGAAUAGAACUGAAAGACUACCAUGUCGUGGUGGAAGAGGAAGACUUUUGACACCUCAACAGGAGACUGAAAUAGUCAAUAUGAGUUCUUGAGCUCAAUGCAACUGCAGUUUCCUGUGAAUUCAUAUUUAAUGACAAAGUGGGGAUCAACCUUGCAAAAAGGCGGCAACGGGGAAGGAACGUCAUCAGCCAUUGCGCCAUUGUUGAGGUUCCUGGCCAGGGGGGGAACAUCACCAUAUACUCAACUAUAAAUCACCAAGGCGUCCUCCAUCACCAUUGAGCCCUCGGCCCCUACAAUACUACCUGUCUCAUCACUUUCCUGGACUCACUACACAAUAUCCUCACUCCAGCCGAGCAGAUGGAUGGCCCAGAGCAGCCCAGGUACGUUGUCAUCUGCUUGGCAUUGGCAGGUAUAUGAACACAGACCCUAUGAGCGCAUACCCCUUUCUACAAGCAACAGAGGAAGCAUGUGGUGAUAUAGCUGCUGAAGCAUAUCAGGUUGGCAGGGCUACUUUCCCCGCUGCUUGGCCAGGGAGAACAUUGCCUGUGAUGUCGAUGAGAUCCUGUGGCCAGACAGAAAUGAAAGGCAGCACCCAGCCUCAUUUUCUUUACAAUAUAUGCAGAAGCCUUAUUUUCUUUUUUCUACUGUUUGCUCUGUGUAUUCUGAACACUUUACAAAUACAACUGUGUUUGCUGAGAUGGAUACAGUAUUUCCAAAUAAAAGAACAUCCUAUUCUUGUA
Thunnus maccoyii (southern bluefin tuna) is the source of this 1564-nucleotide long non-coding RNA. RefSeq lists it as uncharacterized. The record is from RefSeq and is a predicted model, not a curated record. Lineage: Eukaryota; Metazoa; Chordata; Actinopteri; Scombriformes; Scombridae. The transcript has 5 exons.